RNAcentral lists this ribosomal RNA (253 nucleotides) under uncultured bacterium. RNAcentral's name for it is "partial 16S ribosomal RNA". It matches the Rfam family "Bacterial small subunit ribosomal RNA", at positions 524 to 776 of the family's 1533-position model. The record is from RNAcentral.
UACGAAGGGGGCUAGCGUUGCUCGGAAUUACUGGGCGUAAAGCGCACGUAGGCGGCUUUCUAAGUCGGGGGUGAAAUCCUGGAGCUCAACUCCAGAACUGCCUUCGAUACUGGAGAGCUCGAGUCCGGGAGAGGUGAGUGGAACUGCGAGUGUAGAGGUGAAAUUCGUAGAUAUUCGCAAGAACACCAGUGGCGAAGGCGGCUCACUGGCCCGGUACUGGCGCUGAGGUGCGAAAGCGUGGGGAGCAAACAGG